Long non-coding RNA from Tachysurus fulvidraco (yellow catfish), 821 nucleotides. RefSeq lists it as uncharacterized. The transcript is spliced from 5 exons. Lineage: Eukaryota; Metazoa; Chordata; Actinopteri; Siluriformes; Bagridae. The record is from RefSeq and is a predicted model, not a curated record.
AACUUAAGUGCAUGAACUUGGCUAACGGACUGGCGGAUAGCUGUAGCACAACUAGCAAGGACUACGUGUGUACGAGUAUCCCGUGAAGCAUCCAAUGUCUGUUUGUGUUUUUCAUCGACAUUUUUCUUUCUGAAGCGUGUAAGGAGCACAAACAAUCGUCAUCAAGGUACUAUUUUUCCGUUUGUUGCCCUCGUGGUGAAGUAGCUAUUUUGUUUGGUUUCUACGAACCCCAGCUACGUACAGGCCUGCAACUAUACUGAUCAAUGUCCAAAGAAUCUUUGAAAUCCAGGAAGGAGGGAACGUAUUUGCUGCUUAUUUAAGGCGGUGGAAUAAACUAAGACUCAGAACUGGUGAACAGUCCAAGCUGUGAAGGCUGCAAAAUGAAGAUGAAGAUUCUGUUCAUGACUCUGGUUCUUGCCUUGAUGCUGAUGAAUGGGUCAGCUUUGGUAUGUUACCGCUGUACCGCGCAACAAGAUGGCAAAUGUCAUCGUGAGUUAGAAAAGUGCAAAAUGAAUAAUUCUGCUUGUUUCAGUGGUGAACGCUUUUCCCAGAUCUAUCAAGCAUUUCUUCCUCUCAAGCAGUGCAUGACUUUGUUAAAUUGUCAGACGUUAAAGCACAGUGAGGAUAACCGGAAAGUCACAUGCUGUACAAACAACUUAUGCAAUUAAAAUGCUGAUCCACAAACAUGAGUGAUGUAAAAGAUAAGAUCCUGAUCAAGUACAUCGAUACAACAUUCUGUUUAAUCGGUCAGAGUCUGUUUGUAGUCCAACAAAAUUUGUAACUGAAGAGCAAUUCUCAAUAAAGAUGCUUAAUUACUUUCA